GGACACGAGAAAUCUUGUACGAAUCUGCCAGGACCAUCUGGUAAGGCUAAAUACUGACUGACGACCGAUAGUGAACAAGUACCGCGAGGGAAAGGUGAAAAAGAACCCGUGAGAGGGGAGUGAAAUAGAACAUGAAACCGUGUGCUUACAAGCAAUUGGAGCCCUAUUUAUAGGGUGACAGUGUGCCUGUUGAAGAAUGAGCCGGCGAGUUACCGUAUGUAGUUGGUUAAGCAGUUAAUAUGCGAAGCCAUAGCGAAAGCGAGUCUGAUAAGGGCGUUGAUAAUUACAUGUGGUAGACCCGAACCCGGGUGAUCUAGGCAUGGCCAGGAUGAAGCGCAAGUAACAUUGCGUAGAGGUCCGAACCAACUGAUGUUGAAAAAUCAGUGGAUGAGCUGUGUUUAGGGGUGAAAUGCCAAUCGAACCCGGAGCUAGCUGGUUCUCCCCGAAAGGCGUUGAGGCACCGCGUCAGAUUUAUCCUACAGGGGGUAGAGCACUAGUUCGGUGC
This 505-nucleotide ribosomal RNA is filed under the name uncultured bacterium. RNAcentral's name for it is "bacterial LSU rRNA". It matches the Rfam family "Bacterial large subunit ribosomal RNA", at positions 420 to 921 of the family's 2925-position model. The record is from RNAcentral.